AUUGAACGCUGGCGGAAUGCUUUACACAUGCAAGUCGAACGGCAGCACGGGUGCUUGCACCUGGUGGCGAGUGGCGAACGGGUGAGUAAUAUAUCGGAACGUAUCCAAUAAUGGGGGAUAACUAGCCGAAAGGUUAGCUAAUACCGCAUACGCCCUGAGGGGGAAAGCUGGGGAGCGUAAGACCUAGCGUUGAUGGAGCGGCCGAUAUCUGAUUAGCUAGUUGGUGGGGUAAGAGCCUACCAAGGCGACGAUCAGUAGCUGGUCUGAGAGGACGACCAGCCACACUGGAACUGAGACACGGUCCAGACUCCUACGGGAGGCAGCAGUGGGGAAUUUUGGACAAUGGGGGCAACCCUGAUCCAGCCAUUCCGCGUGAGAGAAGAAGGCCUUCGGGUUGUAAAGCUCUUUCGCAAGGGAAGAAAACUCGAUCUCUAAUAUAGGUUGAGGCUGACGGUACCUUGAUAAGAAGCACCGGCUAACUACGUGCCAGCAGCCGCAGUAA
Molecule: ribosomal RNA, 502 nt
Filed under: uncultured bacterium
Lineage: Bacteria
Description: partial 16S ribosomal RNA
Rfam family: Bacterial small subunit ribosomal RNA
Source: RNAcentral